Monomorium pharaonis (pharaoh ant) is the source of this 1033-nucleotide long non-coding RNA. RefSeq lists it as uncharacterized. Lineage: Eukaryota; Metazoa; Arthropoda; Insecta; Hymenoptera; Formicidae. The record is from RefSeq and is a predicted model, not a curated record. The transcript has 3 exons.
AUUACUUUUUUUUCAGUGUAAUAUUUAAAAAAUUUUUCCCUUAAUUUCUUAAAAUUUUUUAGGUUGGCCAUGUUAUCGCUGCCGAGUACGGGACGAGAUGAAUCCGGGGACGGCGAUGGUCUGAUGGGUCAGCGGUUGCACCGUUGCAGAUGCUUUGCAGUUUCAAUGAAGAUCUAAUGUUGAAUAUUAAGGGAUUGCAGAGCAACGUGGAGAAUAAGAACAUUUGAAACGGCGACUUGCGAUUCGUUGAGUACUGUGGCGUCAAAUUGACGAUGGCUGGUGGCUCGUGAUUACGGGACAAAUCAGUGGAUUAUCCGGGAGCUCAGUUUCGCGAGUACGGGAGUCGGGAAUAGGAUAGCGGGACAGUUUCUAUUUCGGCUGAGGGAGUAACAGUUCGGAGCGGAGAAACAGUUGGAGACUGACGAGUCUCCAUUUAAGUCACAGAAGGAUAGAAAAUCGUGUUACAAUUACGUUGCUUGAGCUUAUAAGAUCGUGACUCCAAAGUACGAGCGACAACAGAGAUGAUCAUCGCGCGUACACGAAGGCCGCCCGAACUCAUACGCGCCGCACGAAUCAGAUAAAUCUCGAGUGAAACACGUGCGCGCGUGGUCCCCUCGAAAGGGUUGUUUGCACGCUGAUAACUGACGCAUACGAUAUGAGAUUAUUAUAAAGAUAGGAAACCGUACAUAUAACGUACAGUUGUAACCUACGCCACGUCGACACAGAUAGAAGAGCGACGAGAGAUCGCCGUACUUUUUUUCCGCACCGCUUCAAUUACGGUUGGCGUGUGUUUACGCAGCACUUAUAGCACGUCGUUUUCUGCGCGUCUUCAUUGUUAGGAAGUCCGAUGUUUUAUUGACUUUAGCGGGAUAUCGCUGUUACAUAUAUGCAUUAUCAUGUUCGCUAUAAUUUAAUUAAUGGCAUUAAACGUAAGAUAUAUGUUAUAUUACACUGAUUCAAAAGUAAUCACAUGCCGCGAAUAUUUUUUACAAUAUGCCUAAUUUCUUUUUGGAAAUUUAUUUAUUAGCAUUAG